UACGAGGGGGGCAAGCGUUGUUCGGAAUUACUGGGCGUAAAGGGCGCGUAGGCGGCCUUCUAAGUCGAACGUGAAAUCCCUGGGCUCAACCCAGGAACUGCGUCCGAUACUGGAGGGCUUGAAUCCGGGAGAGGGAUGUGGAAUUCCAGGUGUAGCGGUGAAAUGCGUAGAUAUCUGGAGGAACACCGGUGGCGAAGGCGACAUCCUGGACCGGUAUUGACGCUGAGGCGCGAAAGCCAGGGGAGCAAACGGG
This 253-nucleotide ribosomal RNA is filed under the name uncultured bacterium. Its description in RNAcentral is "partial 16S ribosomal RNA". It matches the Rfam family "Bacterial small subunit ribosomal RNA", at positions 524 to 776 of the family's 1533-position model. The record is from RNAcentral.